UCCGCGCCACUCUCCUUACGCGGAGUCCCGACCCAUCGCCGAGUUCCGUGCUCACGCAUUAUGUAGACAUGUAAAUUCCUCGGACAAAGGCCACGAUGAGGGCGCCUCGGUUGGCUCCACAAAGCCGCCCCGUGCGGAGCUAACAGGUUCUGUCAGCUAGCAAAUUCUCCGCACGCCUGGGCGAGGGCGCUCCCGGCGGGUGAUGGAUGAAGGGACACCCCUCUUACCUGGAAGACGGAGAGGAAUGGAGACCAGAGGGGGAGGAGGCCGGCUCCCUAUUAUCCUCCGAGGCCCAGCCUUCGCUCUCACUCGUUAUCUGCCGUCAGCGCUCUGCCCCAGACGUCCGGCUGCUGGUGACUUUUGUUCAUUUCACAAAAGAUUUCUAAUCACAUUUUAGUCCCAGCAAAGAGAAGAAAAUUCCAUUUCCCACACACACACACACACACACAAAAAAAAACAGAACAAAUCAAAAAAGGAAGGUGGGGUAAGAGGGGAGAGGCAGUGUAUGAGGAACUUUUAAGAUAUUAUUUCCCCAUUCUUAGCCCCAAAUUUAAAGAAAAGAGCGGUUAGCGGGUAGCUUAAUCAAACUCCUGGACACACAGGCGCUAGUUAACGUCCAGCAGCACACCAGCUCCCGAGGUCUGCAACUCUGGGAUGUCUGUGGACAUUUUUAGCAGUCCGAUCCAGACCUUGGCAUACACGUUAACUGCAGACCCGGCUCUGGUCUCGCUGCUCUGGUCCAGUUUGGGGAAAGCACGGAUACCUGGGCCUCCAGAGUCAAGAGCUAAGAGGCCCGGGGAGAUCAAAAGGGACUUGGUAAUUAGCGAUUUCCGUCUCUAGUGGUCACUAACCCGACUUAAAACGCUAAGACAGUCUGCACCCGGCCAAUUUGCUGGAGACAAAAGCAAGGAGAACUGCCUCACGGCAGGCAGUUUCACUCUUUCAGAGAGGGGGUUGGGCGUGGGGGUGGGAAUUAAGCAGAAAUCACCUAUAGACCUAGUCGCAUCCCCGGGGCGUUUUGUGACUCAGGCAGCGCCAAGCCGAUUUGCAUUUGAGUUUUCUCUUUCCCAGUAAAGUUAAUUUUUGGACCGCCGCCUCUGAAAAGGGAGUCACUUAACGAAAGAAAAAGAGAGAAAGAGAUAUGAGAGUAAUAUGAAGCAUGAAGCCGACUACGUUGCUCAAGAUGUAGGCGCUCUGCUGUCUUGGGCAAUGAAUGAGCUGCCCUCUCGGCCUGCCCUGCCUGCCGGGAAUUCGGCUCCGGGAACCUGUAGGAGAAAAUGAAACGUCUUCAUGUGUCCAUGUUUGAAGUCUCUUCAGAUCUGUCGAGCACGGAGGCGUUAGCGAGGACUAGGCUGUUUUUCCGCUGAGAAAAUGAGCUCUUGUUGGCUGAACAAAACUUUCCUUACAACUGCAGUAGUCAACAUUCUCAAAGUCGCAUAUAAGUCUGCCUCCCUAAAUCAGUCAAACUAAGGAAACACAAUUGCUAUUAGAAGCAAAGGCCCCUAACAUCAGAACAUCUUCCUUCCUAAACCAGAAGCGGUCAUUCAUUCGUAAAGGGGGAAAUCCGACUUGCUAGAGAGACUCCUAGUUUCCCAGUUGUAGGAAAGUUCGCUACAUUCAACAAGUUUCGUGCAAACGCCUUAAAUGCAUUCAGAACUGGUCGCCCGGUCUGGUGGGGGGAUUGUGAAAGCGUGCUGGCCUUCCAGGACAAAAUAAUAAUGUCAAAGAACUAUUAACUCUCGCCUCGCUGUUUCUUUCUACCUUCCCAAGGAAAGAGCCAAGUCAAAAGACAGUCACAGCAUCCACUCAGGUCGGCGUCCAUGUCUUCCAGUGGGGCAGACCACGAUUCCACGGGGUUUCUGCAUAAAGGAAGCUGGAAUCCGGGCUCACAGAGCCCACCUAACUUUCAGGCUUCACCUUCAGGCCCUGUUUCCCGCCGCCGGUCCCAAGAGAAAGAUCUCGUGUUGGUUCUCCGUUCUCCGGGCAAAGGGCGGAGUCCCGCAGAAGCCCGAAAGCUGAGGGGUUUCCUAUCCGCAGACUUUUUAUCUCUGGAGAUCCUCUUCCUCAGAAGACUUUGUAGCGGAAGAUUGGAUCACAGAAUCUUGUACUUCUUCUGUGCUAGGCACUGAAUUAAUAAGCAUUUUCUCACUUAGUCCUCCUAACCCUACGAGUGUAGUCUCUGUUUUCCACAGGAAGAAACUGAGGUUAUAAGUCACUCUCUGUGACGUGUGUUAGUGGGGAUCAGGACUGAACCACAGCUUCUUUGUUCCCAGGUCCACCACCAUUGAGGAAGGUCUGACUUCCCGUCAGUUCACCCACCUAUCACCCCAUCACCCAGGGCCUACUGUAUGACCAGCUCUGUUCCUAGUCCUGGCAUUUCGUUUAAAUACCCAACCUAAAUUUAGCUCCCAAAACUUUUCUUUUUCUGUUGGACUUCAUUUCCCUGCUUCUGUAGUGCUACAGAUUCCAAUUUUUAACAUCACUUACUGCUAUAGAGAAGGAUCUGAUUAUGGUUCUAGUUAAUAGAAUCCCUCACAGGAAGGCCCAGCACUACCUUCUUCUUAGAGAAUAGGAUAGGCGGGUAGGUGAUGCUAUUUUGCCAAGGGCACAGAGUCAGAAAUAGAAUCUAAGGGCAAUGUCCCAAACUCCUUAGCUCUUAGAACUUCUCUCCCCUAAGCCUGACAAGUUUGGCUUUCUGAACUUAAUGUUUUUUGAUUUAUCAUCCUUCAGGAUUAUUUUGUUGUUGCUGUUAGAUUUUUUAGACUAAUAAAUCACUGGGCACGUAAAUAA
Odocoileus virginianus texanus is the source of this 2790-nucleotide non-coding RNA. The record is from RefSeq and is a predicted model, not a curated record. NCBI's taxonomy places the organism in Eukaryota, Metazoa, Chordata, Mammalia, Artiodactyla, Cervidae.